GUGAACUCCGGGAGUUGGUGAUGGACAGGGAGGCCUGGUGUGCUGCGAUUCAUGGGUCGCAAAGAGUCGGACACGACUGAGCGACUGAACUGAACUGAUAGCCGAUUAACAAUGUUGUAAUAGUUUCAAGGGGACAGUAAAUGGACUCAUCCAUACAUAUACAUGUAUGCAUUCUCCCCCAGACUCCCCUGCCAUCCCGGUUGUAAUGUUUCUUUGGAACACUGCCGUGCCCAUUCACUUGUGUAUUUUCUGUGGCUGUGUUCCUGCUACAGCGGCUUAGUUGAGUAGUUGUGACAGAGAUCAUACAGAGAGAUUUUUGAAAAGAAAGGCCCUGGCCAAGCUGAAAUUCUGGGGAGGUGCAAGUUCAACAGCUCAGCAAUCCUUAGAAUGAGAAAAGCUUUUAAACAAAAUUAAAAGCUUGAAAGUACAGCAGUUGAGUAUCAAGUUCAUCUGACUUUGCUUCUCUUUAGAUUUUUACUUGGAUCAUAAUUACACUUUUGUUUAUCGUAAAGUAGUGGGGCACUAUAAUGCUGUUUGGCAUAAUUCAGUUAAUUAUUGUUUGAUAUAAAUACAUGCAUUUAAAAUAUAUAUAUUUCAUGUUUUGAGAAUGUGGUAUUGCUAUUGGUUUCCCUUCAGCUGGUAUUAAGUGGUUUUGAUGAGCAUCUUUGAGAAUUUAUGGAAAGAUUUUUUAACUACUUCACCCAUAAUGAAUAAAUUAUACUAAUCACAGAAUUUGAUGAAUUGUCUUGCUUUUUGUCUUUGAACUUGAAAGGUUAAACUUUAGUUAGCCUGUUGAUAUAGAUGAAUGAAAUUUUUAGUCAUUAAAAUCAACAGAUAUUCCUUCUACUAAUUUUAGAAAAAGUCUUUCACAAGUACCUAAUAGUAUCUUUGUUAAGUACCAUCGUUAAGCAAAUGUUUUGGCCUAGGGACAUAAAUAUUCAUUUUGAUUAGUAAAGAGAAGACAGGGAAGAUUUAAUAAUUUAAGAUAUUAUUGUCCUUAGCAUAUUAAAAGUGCUGUUUUGAAAAUUUACAUGUAAAAUGCUUUAUACAUUUAUUGAUGUGCUCAUUAAUUUUCACUGUCUUGAGUUUUGAGUACUCUUACAACUGUUGUUAGCUUGGCUUGAAGUUUCCAUGUCCCAGAAUAACUUUUAAGCCUUAAGUGGUUAAAGGCACUUAAGAAUAUAAUGGUCUUCUUUUAAUAUACCUGAUUUGCCCUUGGUAUUGAAAGAAGCAUAUGGAAGUGUUAAUCAGUCAACAGCCUUUUUGUUUUCCAUGAUAAGACAAAGGAAAAA
Bubalus bubalis (water buffalo) is the source of this 1292-nucleotide long non-coding RNA. RefSeq lists it as uncharacterized. Lineage: Eukaryota; Metazoa; Chordata; Mammalia; Artiodactyla; Bovidae. The transcript is spliced from 2 exons. The record is from RefSeq and is a predicted model, not a curated record.